This 490-nucleotide ribosomal RNA is filed under the name uncultured bacterium. Its description in RNAcentral is "partial 16S ribosomal RNA". It matches the Rfam family "Bacterial small subunit ribosomal RNA", at positions 28 to 507 of the family's 1533-position model. The record is from RNAcentral.
GAUGAACGCUCGCUACAGGCUUAACACAUGCAAGUCGCGGGGCAGCAUGGGGGUUGCUUGCAAUCCCCGAUGGCGACCGGCGCACGGGUGAGUAACGCGUAUCCAACCUGCCCUUCACCACGGGAUAACCCGGCGAAAGUCGGACUAAUACCGUAUGUUGUCCAUUGACGGCAUCCGAUUUGGACGAAAGGUUUGGCGGUGAAGGAUGGGGAUGCGUCCGAUUAGCUGGACGGCGGGGUGACGGCCCACCGUGGCGACGAUCGGUAGGGGUUCUGAGAGGAAGGUCCCCCACACUGGAACUGAGACACGGUCCAGACGCCUACGGGAGGCAGCAGUGAGGAAUAUUGGUCAAUGGGCGUAAGCCUGAACCAGCCAAGUAGCGUGCAGGAUGACGGCCCUAUGGGUUGUAAACUGCUUUUAUGCGGGGAUAAAGUGGCCCACGUGUGGGUUUUUGCAGGUACCGCAUGAAUAAGGACCGGCUAAUUCCGUG